CCAAUAGCGUAUAUUAAAGUUGUUGCAGUUAAAAAGCUCGUAGUUGAACUUCGGGGUCUACCCAUUGGUCAGGCUUAAUUGUCUGUACUGGUGAGAUGGAUCUCUACCUUCUGAGGAACUUUCUUGCCAUUUAUUUGGUGUGAUUGGAAAUCAGGACUGUUACUUUGAAAAAAUUAGAGUGUUUAAAGCAGACUAUCGUCUGAAUACAUUAGCAUGGAAUAAUGAAAUAGGACGGACUGAUUCUAUUUCGUUGGUUUCUAGGAUCACCGUAAUGAUUAAUAGGGAUAGUUGGGGGCAUUAGUAUUCAAUUGUCAGAGGUGAAAUUCUUGGAUUUAUUGAAGACUAACUACUGCGAAAGCAUUUGCCAAGGAUGUUUUCAUUAAUCAAGAACGAAAGUUAGGGGAUCGAAGACGAUCAGAUACCGUCGUAGUCUUAACCAUAAACUAUGCCGACUAGGAAUCAGACGAUGUUAAUUUUUUAAUGACUAGUUUGGCACCUUACG
This 502-nucleotide ribosomal RNA is filed under the name uncultured Glomeromycotina. RNAcentral's name for it is "partial small subunit ribosomal RNA". It matches the Rfam family "Eukaryotic small subunit ribosomal RNA", at positions 591 to 1092 of the family's 1831-position model. The record is from RNAcentral. Lineage: Eukaryota; Fungi; Glomeromycota.